This is a non-coding RNA of Acanthosepion pharaonis, 100 nucleotides long. The record is from the annotation of a GenBank genome assembly. Lineage: Eukaryota; Metazoa; Mollusca; Cephalopoda; Sepiida; Sepiidae.
CGUUUAAACACCGGUUCCCGUACGAUCACUGAUAUUAAGCAAUGUCGAGACCGGUCAGUUACUGGAUGGGUGACAGUUUGGGAAUACCAGGUACUGUAAG